This 776-nucleotide ribosomal RNA is filed under the name uncultured bacterium. RNAcentral describes it as "bacterial SSU rRNA". It matches the Rfam family "Bacterial small subunit ribosomal RNA", at positions 11 to 795 of the family's 1533-position model. The record is from RNAcentral.
GUUUGAUCCUGGCUCAGGGUAAACGCUGGCGGCGCGCCUAAUGCAUGCAAGUCGAGCGGUCUUGGCGGCUUCGGCUGUCAGGAUAGCGGCAAACGGCUGAGUAACGCGUGAGUAACCUGUCCUUUGGUGGGGUAAAACCUCGAGAAAUCAAGGCUAAUACCGCAUGAGUUCCCUGUGCCUUGGCGCGGGGAGGAAAGCCUUCGGGCGCCAGAGGAGGGGCUCGCGCCCUAUCAGGUAGUUGGUAGGGUAACGGCCUACCAAGCCGACGACGGGUAGCUGGUCUGAGAGGACGGCCAGCCAGAGGGGGACUGAGACACGGCCCCCACUCCUACGGGAGGCAGCAGCAGGGAAUCUUGGGCAAUGGGCGAAAGCCUGACCCAGCGAUGCCGCGUGGGCGAAGAAGGUGUAAACCUUGUCAACUCCUUUUCUAAGGGAAGUUAUAGGACCGGGACCUCGCGGAAUAAGCCCCGGCUAACUCCGUGCCAGCAGCCGCGGUAACACGGUAGGGGGCGAGCGUUACUCCGGAUUUACUGGGCGUAAAGGGCGCGUAGGCGGUCUCGGCAAGUUUCCUGUGAAAAGCUCACCGGCUUAACCGGGGAGAGGCAUCCAAAACUGCUGGGCUAGAGGGCAAGCAGAGGAAAGUAGAAUUCCCGGUGUAGCGGUGAAAUGCAUAGAUAUCGGGAGGAAUACCAGAGGCGAAAGCGGCCAUCUGGGUUGUUCCUGACGCUCAGGGGCGAAAGCGUGGGUAGCAAACCGGAUUAGAUACCCUGGUAGUC